Non-coding RNA from Burkholderiales bacterium, 54 nucleotides. The record is from Rfam. Lineage: Bacteria; Pseudomonadati; Pseudomonadota; Betaproteobacteria; Burkholderiales.
UGGGGAUAAGAGCGGCCUCCCCGUCCAUCAAGACGCUUGGCGUCCAAGUGCAGC